GAUGAAGAACGUAGCGAAAUGCGAUAAGUAAUGUGAAUUGCAGAAUUCAGUGAAUCAUCGAAUCUUUGAACGCACAUUGCGCCCGCCAGCAUUCUGGCGGACAUGCCUGUUCGAGCGUCAUUUCAACCCUCGAGCCCCCCCGGGGGCCUCGGUGUUGGGGGACGGCACACCAGCCGCCCCCGAAAUGCAGUGGCGACCCCGCCGCAGCCUCCCCUGCGUAGUAGCACACACCUCGCACCGGAGCGCGGAGGCGGUCACGCCGUAAAACGCCCAACUUUCUUAGAGUUGACCUCGGAUCAGGUAGGAAUACCCGCUGAACUUAAGCAUAUCAAUAAGCGGAGGA
This 343-nucleotide unclassified non-coding RNA is filed under the name soil metagenome. Its description in RNAcentral is "partial contains 5.8S ribosomal RNA, internal transcribed spacer 2, and large subunit ribosomal RNA". The stretch from base 1 to 120 matches the Rfam family "5.8S ribosomal RNA", at positions 35 to 154 of the family's 154-position model. The record is from RNAcentral.